GAUGAACGCUGGCGGCGUGCCUAAUACAUGCAAGUCGAGCGAACGGACGAGAAGCUUGCUUCUCUGAUGUUAGCGGCGGACGGGUGAGUAACACGUGGAUAACCUACCUAUAAGACUGGGAUAACUUCGGGAAACCGGAGCUAAUACCGGAUGAUAUUUUGAACCGCAUGGUUCAAAAGUGAAAGACGGUCUUGCUGUCACUUAUAGAUGGAUCCGCGCUGCAUUAGCUAGUUGGUAAGGUAACGGCUUAUCAAGGCAACGAUGCAUAGCCGACCUGAGAGAGUGAUCGGCCACACUGGAACUGAGACACGGUCCAGACUCCUACGGGAGGCAGCAGUAGGGAAUCUUCCGCAAUGGGCGAAAGCCUGACGGAGCAGCGCCGCGUGAGUGAUGAAGGUCUUCGGAUCGUAAAACUCUGUUAUUAGGGAAGAACAUAUGUGUAAGUAACUGUGCACAUCUUGACGGUACCUAAUCAGAAAGCCACGGCUAACUACGUG
Molecule: ribosomal RNA, 497 nt
Filed under: uncultured bacterium
Lineage: Bacteria
Description: partial 16S ribosomal RNA
Rfam family: Bacterial small subunit ribosomal RNA
Source: RNAcentral